AGCGAACGCUGGCGGCAGGCUUAACACAUGCAAGUCGAGCGGCCGUAGCAAUACGGCAGCGGCAGACGGGAGAGUAACACGUGGGAACGUACCCUUCAGUACGGAACAACCAAGGGAAGCUUUGGCUAAUACCGUAUACGUCCGUAAGGAGAAAGAUUUAUCGCUGAAGGAUCGGCCCGCGUCCGAUUAGCUAGUUGGUGAGGUAACGGCUCACCAAGGCGACGAUCAGUAGCUGGUCUGAGAGGAUGAUCAGCCUCACUGGGACUGAGACACGGCCCAGACUCCUACGGGAGGCAGCAGUGGGGAAUAUUGGACAAUGGGCGCAAGCCUGAUCCAGCCAUGCCGCGUGGAUGAUGAAGGCCCUAGGGUUGUAAAGUCCUUUUAACGGGGAAGAUAAUGACGGUACCCGUAGAAUAAGCCCCGGCUAACUUCGUGCCAGCAGCCGCCGUAA
Molecule: ribosomal RNA, 451 nt
Filed under: uncultured bacterium
Lineage: Bacteria
Description: partial 16S ribosomal RNA
Rfam family: Bacterial small subunit ribosomal RNA
Source: RNAcentral